RNAcentral lists this ribosomal RNA (1132 nucleotides) under Levilactobacillus brevis. RNAcentral describes it as "bacterial SSU rRNA". It matches the Rfam family "Bacterial small subunit ribosomal RNA", at positions 347 to 1474 of the family's 1533-position model. Lineage: Bacteria; Bacillati; Bacillota; Bacilli; Lactobacillales; Lactobacillaceae. The record is from RNAcentral.
CACAGCAGUAGGGAUCUUCCACAAUGGACGAAGUCUGAUGGAGCAAUGCCGCGUGAGUGAAGAAGGGUACUGGCUCGUAAAACUCUGUUGUUAAAGAAGAACACCUUUGAGAGUAACUGUUCAAGGGUUGACGGUAUUUAACCAGAAAGCCACGGCUAACUACGUGCCAGCAGCCGCGGUAAUACGUAGGUGGCAAGCGUUGUCCGGAUUUAUUGGGCGUAAAGCGAGCGCAGGCGGUUUUUUAAGUCUGAUGUGAAAGCCUUCGGCUUAACCGGAGAAGUGCAUCGGAAACUGGGAGACUUGAGUGCAGAAGAGGACAGUGGAACUCCAUGUGUAGCGGUGGAAUGCGUAGAUAUAUGGAAGAACACCAGUGGCGAAGGCGGCUGUCUAGUCUGUAACUGACGCUGAGGCUCGAAAGCAUGGGUAGCGAACAGGAUUAGAUACCCUGGUAGUCCAUGCCGUAAACGAUGAGUGCUAAGUGUUGGGAGGGUUUCCGCCCUUCAGUGCUGCAGCUAACGCAUUAAGCACUCCGCCUGGGGAGUACGACCGCAAGGUUGAAACUCAAAGGAAUUGACGGGGGCCCGCACAAGCGGUGGAGCAUGUGGUUUAAUUCGAAGCUACGCGAAGAACCUUACCAGGUCUUGACAUCUUCUGCCAAUCUUAGAGAUAAGACGUUCCCUUCGGGGACAGAAUGACAGGUGGUGCAUGGUUGUCGUCAGCUCGUGUCGUGAGAUGUUGGGUUAAGUCCCGCAACGAGCGCAACCCUUAUUAUCAGUUGCCAGCAUUCAGUUGGGCACUCUGGUGAGACUGCCGGUGACAAACCGGAGGAAGGUGGGGAUGACGUCAAAUCAUCAUGCCCCUUAUGACCUGGGCUACACACGUGCUACAAUGGACGGUACAACGAGUCGCGAAGUCGUGAGGCUAAGCUAAUCUCUUAAAGCCGUUCUCAGUUCGGAUUGUAGGCUGCAACUCGCCUACAUGAAGUUGGAAUCGCUAGUAAUCGCGGAUCAGCAUGCCGCGGUGAAUACGUUCCCGGGCCUUGUACACACCGCCCGUCACACCAUGAGAGUUUGUAACACCCAAAGCCGGUGAGAUAACCUUCGGGAGUCAGCCGUCUAAGGUGGACAGAGAG